GAUGAACGCUGGCGGCGUGCCUAAUACAUGCAAGUCGAGCGAACAGACGAGGAGCUUGCUCCUUUGACGUUAGCGGCGGACGGGUGAGUAACACGUGGAUAACCUACCUAUAAGACUGGGAUAACUUCGGGAAACCGGAGCUAAUACCGGAUAACAUGUUGAACCGCAUGGUUCAACAGUGAAAGACGGUCUUUCUGUCACUUAUAGAUGGAUCCGCGCCGCAUUAGCUAGUUGGUAAGGUAACGGCUUACCAAGGCAACGAUGCGUAGCCGACCUGAGAGGGUGAUCGGCCACACUGGAACUGAGACACGGUCCAGACUCCUACGGGAGGCAGCAGUAGGGAAUCUUACGCAAUGGGCGAAAGCCUGACGGAGCAACGCCGCGUGAGUGAAGAAGGUCUUCGGAUCGUAAAACUCUGUUAUUAGGGAAGAACAAAUGUGUAAGUAACUAUGCACGUCUUGACGGUACCUAAUCAGAAAGCCACGGCUAACUACGUG
This 497-nucleotide ribosomal RNA is filed under the name uncultured bacterium. RNAcentral's name for it is "partial 16S ribosomal RNA". It matches the Rfam family "Bacterial small subunit ribosomal RNA", at positions 28 to 507 of the family's 1533-position model. The record is from RNAcentral.